AGUAGUUUGAUCAGUGGCCUCGAAGGACGAACGCUGGCGGCGUGCUUAACACAUGCAAGUCGAACGGUGAACCAGAGCUUGCUCUGGGGAUCAGUGGCGAACGGGUGAGUAACACGUGGGCAACCUGCCCCAGACUCUGGGAUAACCUCGGGAAACCGAUGCUAAUACCGGAUACGACCACUUCGGACAUCCGACGGUGGUGGAAAGUUUUUCGGUCUGGGAUGGGCCCGCGGCCUAUCAGCUAGUUGGUGGGGUAAUGGCCUACCAAGGCGACGACGGGUAGCCGGCCUGAGAGGGCGACCGGCCACACUGGAACUGAGACACGGUCCAGACUCCUACGGGAGGCAGCAGUGGGGAAUAUUGCACAAUGGGCGAAAGCCUGAUGCAGCGACGCCGCGUGAGGGACGACGGCCUUCGGGUUGUAAACCUCUUUCAGCAGGGACGAAGCGAAAGUGACUGUACCUGCAGAAGAAGCACCGGCUAACUACGUG
RNAcentral lists this ribosomal RNA (491 nucleotides) under uncultured bacterium. Its description in RNAcentral is "bacterial SSU rRNA". It matches the Rfam family "Bacterial small subunit ribosomal RNA", at positions 1 to 507 of the family's 1533-position model. The record is from RNAcentral.